CAGUAGCCACGGUAAUACAGAGGAUGCGAGCGUUAAUCGGAAUUACUGGGCGUAAAGCGUGCGCAGGCGGUUGUGUAAGACAGGUGUGAAAUCCCCGGGCUUAACCUGGGAACUGCGCUUGUGACUGCACAGCUAGAGUAUGGCAGAGGGGGGUGGAAUUCCACGUGUAGCAGUGAAAUGCGUAGAGAUGUGGAGGAACACCGAUGGCGAAGGCAGCCCCCUGGGCCAAUACUGACGCUCAUGCACGAAAGCGUGGGGAGCAAACAGGAUUAGAUACCCCCGUAGUCCCUGUCUCUUAUAC
RNAcentral lists this ribosomal RNA (301 nucleotides) under uncultured bacterium. Its description in RNAcentral is "partial 16S ribosomal RNA". It matches the Rfam family "Bacterial small subunit ribosomal RNA", at positions 509 to 807 of the family's 1533-position model. The record is from RNAcentral.